Molecule: non-coding RNA, 89 nt
Organism: Rodentibacter rarus
Lineage: Bacteria; Pseudomonadati; Pseudomonadota; Gammaproteobacteria; Pasteurellales; Pasteurellaceae
Source: Rfam
AUCUAUGGUAGCGUGUAAUGAGAAAGGUUUUGCCCUUUGCUGUAUUCCAGUGAUCACAGUUUCUGAGCCCGUUACACGUUACCGCCAAC